CAAUAGCGUAUAUUUAAGUUGUUGCAGUUAAAAAGCUCGUAGUUGGAUUUCGGAUGGGACUUGCCGGUUCGUCGUUUCGAUGUGCACUGGCCAGUCCUAUCUUGUUGUCGGGGACUAGCUCCUGGGCUUCACUGUCCGGGACUAGGAGCUGACGAGGUUACUUUGAGUAAAUUAGAGUGUUCAAAGCAAGCCUACGCUCUGAAUACAUUAGCAUGGAAUAACACGAUAGGACUCUGGCUUAUCUUGUUGGUCUGUGAGACCAGAGUAAUGAUUAAGAGGGACAGUCGGGGGCAUUCGUAUUUCAUUGUCAGAGGUGAAAUUCUUGGAUUUAUGAAAGACGAACUUCUGCGAAAGCAUUUGUCAAGGAUGUUUUCAUUAA
Molecule: ribosomal RNA, 379 nt
Filed under: uncultured eukaryote
Lineage: Eukaryota
Description: partial 18S ribosomal RNA
Rfam family: Eukaryotic small subunit ribosomal RNA
Source: RNAcentral